RNAcentral lists this ribosomal RNA (467 nucleotides) under uncultured bacterium. Its description in RNAcentral is "partial 16S ribosomal RNA". It matches the Rfam family "Bacterial small subunit ribosomal RNA", at positions 28 to 507 of the family's 1533-position model. The record is from RNAcentral.
GACGAACGCUGGCGGCGUGCUUAACACAUGCAAGUCGAACGGUGAAGCAGAGCUUGCUCUGUGGAUCAGUGGCGAACGGGUGAGUAACACGUGAGUAACCUGCCCUUGACUCUGGGAUAAGCGUUGGAAACGACGUCUAAUACCGGAUACGAGCUGAGACCGCAUGGUCAUCAGUUGGAAAGAUUUUUUGGUCAAGGAUGGACUCGCGGCCUAUCAGCUUGUUGGUGAGGUAAUGGCUCACCAAGGCGACGACGGGUAGCCGGCCUGAGAGGGUGACCGGCCACACUGGGACUGAGACACGGCCCAGACUCCUACGGGAGGCAGCAGUGGGGAAUAUUGCACAAUGGGCGCAAGCCUGAUGCAGCAACGCCGCGUGAGGGAUGACGGCCUUCGGGUUGUAAACCUCUUUUAGUAGGGAAGAAGCGAAAGUGACGGUACCUGCAGAAAAAGCACCGGCUAACUACGCG